RNAcentral lists this ribosomal RNA (494 nucleotides) under uncultured bacterium. Its description in RNAcentral is "partial 16S ribosomal RNA". It matches the Rfam family "Bacterial small subunit ribosomal RNA", at positions 28 to 507 of the family's 1533-position model. The record is from RNAcentral.
GACGAACGCUGGCGGCGUGCUUAACACAUGCAAGUCGAACGGUGAAGCGCCUUCCUUUUUGGUGGGUGUGGAUGAGUGGCGAACGGGUGAGUAACACGUGAGUAACCUGCCCCCUUCUUCUGGAUAACCGCAUGAAAGUGUGGCUAAUACGGGAUAUUCUGGGUCUGUCGCAUGAUGGGUCUGGGAAAGAUAUUGUUUCGGUGGGGGUUGGGCUCGCGGCCUAUCAGCUUGUUGGUGGGGUGAUGGCCUACCAAGGCGGUGACGGGUAGCCGGCCUGAGAGGGUGGACGGUCACACUGGGACUGAGACACGGCCCAGACUCCUACGGGAGGCAGCAGUGGGGAAUAUUGCACAAUGGGCGCAAGCCUGAUGCAGCGACGCCGCGUGAGGGAUGGAGGCCUUCGGGUUGUGAACCUCCUUCGCCAGUGAAGCAGGCCUGCCUCGUUUGUGGGUGGGUUGACGGUAGCUGGAUAAGAAGCGCCGGCUAACUACGUG